CCUACGGGGGGCUGCAGUGGGGAAUAUUGGACAAUGGGGGGAACCCUGAUCCAGCCAUGCCGCGUGUGUGAAGAAGGCCCUCGGGUUGUAAAGCACUUUCAGUGAGGAAGAACGCCUGGUGGUUAAUACCCAUCAGGAAAGACAUCACUCACAGAAGAAGCACCGGCUAACUCCGUGCCAGCAGCCGCGGUAAUACGGAGGGUGCGAGCGUUAAUCGGAAUUACUGGGCGUAAAGCGCGCGUAGGUGGCUUGAUAAGCCGGUUGUGAAAGCCCCGGGCUCAACCUGGGAACGGCAUCCGGAACCGUCAAGCUAGAGUGCAGGAGAGGAAGGUAGAAUUCCCGGUGUAGCGGUGAAAUGCGUAGAGAUCGGGAGGAAUACCAGUGGCGAAGGCGGCCUUCUGGACUGACACUGACACUGAGGUGCGAAAGCGUGGGUAGCAAACAGGAUUAGAUACCCGUGUAGUC
RNAcentral lists this ribosomal RNA (465 nucleotides) under Vreelandella stevensii. Its description in RNAcentral is "partial 16S ribosomal RNA". It matches the Rfam family "Bacterial small subunit ribosomal RNA", at positions 338 to 795 of the family's 1533-position model. The record is from RNAcentral. Lineage: Bacteria; Pseudomonadati; Pseudomonadota; Gammaproteobacteria; Oceanospirillales; Halomonadaceae.